CGUAAAUUUAGAAAACUCAAAAGUUUAAAACUCCUCCUACAACAUGAUCGUCAUCAAUCCAGAACGAGCUUUUGCAGUGUUAAAGCGCCACGACGCCCGUAAGGUGCCUUUAACUGUUGAACCAAACGCUUCUUCCAAUCUUGAUACUCACAAAUAGAACAAAAUGCCACAAGCGGGAGAGACGAAAAACCUAAUUACGACAUAUUUAAUUUUGGUGGCUCUGCUAUUUGCCCUCUGGAUGCUUUACACCGGCCUGUUCUAAGCAUGUAAACGAUCAACAUCAAAGACGAGUUAGAAAAAUGGAUGCAAGAAAGACAAUAUACAUACGUUAAAACAUUAGUUGCUGCAAAAGUCCCCCGUCAUCGAUCAUCAUGAUUCAUAAACAACUUGCCUAACAUGAUGUGUACAUGUGCAUUUGUAUUUUUAUAAAAAAAAUAAGACACUACCCUAGAAUGUUUUUAUUUAAUUUUUAAGGAGAUUGUUAAGUGGAUCAAUAAAUCGUUAAUUUUUCUAAAUA
Long non-coding RNA from Photinus pyralis (common eastern firefly), 517 nucleotides. RefSeq lists it as uncharacterized. The record is from RefSeq and is a predicted model, not a curated record. NCBI's taxonomy places the organism in Eukaryota, Metazoa, Arthropoda, Insecta, Coleoptera, Lampyridae. The transcript is spliced from 3 exons.